This 266-nucleotide ribosomal RNA is filed under the name Verrucaria nigrescens. RNAcentral's name for it is "partial small subunit ribosomal RNA". Lineage: Eukaryota; Fungi; Ascomycota; Eurotiomycetes; Verrucariales; Verrucariaceae. The record is from RNAcentral.
GGUUUGAUUGAACGGGACCCUACUCGGAAGCCUUUUCACAUCAACGACUAUAACCAUGGUGUGCAGUCUAGAAAGUGUUCCUCUCUAGGCGACGUCGCCCCUGUGCUGGAACGCCUAGAUAUCACGAAAGCGGAUCAGCAGCCAGUUUUCUGGUCCACAGAUUAGGUGGUGACGGUCUCGAUUUGAGAUCAAGAUAUAAUCGAUCGCCGUAGCUAGCGGCUAUGGCGGAACAAUGUUCCGUAGGUGAACCUGCGGAAGGAUCAUUA